UACGGAGGGUGCAAGCGUUGUUCGGAAUUACUGGGCGUAAAGGGCGCGUAGGCGGCCCUCUAAGUCAGACGUGAAAUCCCUCGGCUCAACCGGGGAACUGCGUCUGAGACUGGAAGGCUUGAAUUCGGGAGAGGGAUGUGGAAUUCCAGGUGUAGCGGUGAAAUGCGUAGAUAUCUGGAGGAACACCGGUGGCGAAGGCGGCAUCCUGGACCGAUAUUGACGCUGAUGCGCGAAAGCCAGGGGAGCAAACGGG
Molecule: ribosomal RNA, 253 nt
Filed under: uncultured bacterium
Lineage: Bacteria
Description: partial 16S ribosomal RNA
Rfam family: Bacterial small subunit ribosomal RNA
Source: RNAcentral